This 482-nucleotide ribosomal RNA is filed under the name uncultured bacterium. RNAcentral describes it as "bacterial SSU rRNA". It matches the Rfam family "Bacterial small subunit ribosomal RNA", at positions 30 to 517 of the family's 1533-position model. The record is from RNAcentral.
AUUGAACGCUGGCGGCAGGCCUAACACAUGCAAGUCGAACGGAACCUUCGGGUUUAGUGGCGAACGGGUGAGUAAUGCCUAGGAAUCUGCCUAUUAGUGGGGGAUAACGAAUCGAAAGGUUCGCUAAUACCGCAUACGUCCUACGGGAGAAAGAGGGGAGUCUUCGGACCUCUUGCUAAUAGAUGAGCCUAGGUCGGAUUAGCUGGUUGGUGAGGUAAAGGCUCACCAAGGCGACGAUCUGUAGCUGGUCUGAGAGGAUGGCCAGCCACACUGGAACUGAGACACGGUCCAGACUCCUACGGGAGGCAGCAGUGGGGAAUAUUGGACAAUGGGCGCAAGCCUGAUCCAGCCAUGCCGCGUGUGUGAAGAAGGCCCUCGGGUUGUAAAGCACUUUAAGCGAGGAGGAAGGUCAUCAUACUAAUAUUAUGAUGAAUUGACGUUACUCGCAGAAUAAGCACCGGCUAACUCUGUGCCAGCAGCCG